CGGGUGAGUAAUGCCUAGGAAUCUGCCUGGUAGUGGGGGAUAACGUUCCGAAAGGAACGCUAAUACCGCAUACGUCCUACGGGAGAAAGCAGGGGACCUUCGGGCCUUGCGCUAUCAGAUGAGCCUAGGUCGGAUUAGCUAGUUGGUGAGGUAAUGGCUCACCAAGGCGACGAUCCGUAACUGGUCUGAGAGGAUGAUCAGUCACACUGGAACUGAGACACGGUCCAGACUCCUACGGGAGGCAGCAGUGGGGAAUAUUGGACAAUGGGCGAAAGCCUGAUCCAGCCAUGCCGCGUGUGUGAAGAAGGUCUUCGGAUUGUAAAGCACUUUAAGUUGGGAGGAAGGGUUGUACGUUAAUACCGUGCAAUUUUGACGUUACCGACAGAAUAAGCACCGGCUAACUUCGUGCCAGCAGCCGCGGUAAUACGAAGGGUGCAAGCGUUAAUCGGAAUUACUGGGCGUAAAGCGCGCGUAGGUGGUUCAGUAAGUUGGAUGUGAAAUCCCCGGGCUCAACCUGGGAACUGCAUCCAAAACUGCUGAGCUAGAGUACGGUAGAGGGUGGUGGAAUUUCCUGUGUAGCGGUGAAAUGCGUAGAUAUAGGAAGGAACACCAGUGGCGAAGGCGACCACCUGGACUGAUACUGACACUGA
RNAcentral lists this ribosomal RNA (650 nucleotides) under Pseudomonas kribbensis. RNAcentral describes it as "bacterial SSU rRNA". It matches the Rfam family "Bacterial small subunit ribosomal RNA", at positions 103 to 749 of the family's 1533-position model. Lineage: Bacteria; Pseudomonadati; Pseudomonadota; Gammaproteobacteria; Pseudomonadales; Pseudomonadaceae. The record is from RNAcentral.